Molecule: ribosomal RNA, 515 nt
Filed under: uncultured bacterium
Lineage: Bacteria
Description: partial 16S ribosomal RNA
Rfam family: Bacterial small subunit ribosomal RNA
Source: RNAcentral
GAUGAACGCUGGCGGCGUGCCUAAUACAUGCAAGUCGAGCGAAUGGAUUAAGAGCUUGCUCUUAUGAAGUUAGCGGCGGACGGGUGAGUAACACGUGGGUAACCUGCCCAUAAGACUGGGAUAACUCCGGGAAACCGGGGCUAAUACCGGAUAACAUUUUGAACCGCAUGGUUCGAACUUGAAAGGCGGCUUCGGCUGUCACCUCUGGAUGGACCCGCGUCGCAUUAGCUAGUUGGUGAGGUAACGGCUCACCAAGGCAACGAUGCGUAGCCGACCUGAGAGGGUGAUCGGCCACACUGGGACUGAGACACGGCCCAGACUCCUACGGGAGGCAGCAGUAGGGAAUCUUCCGCAAUGGACGAAAGUCUGACGGAGCAACGCCGCGUGAGUGAUGAAGGCUUUCGGGUCGUAAAACUCUGUUGUUAGGGAAGAACAAGUGCUAGUUGAAUAAGCUGGCACCUUGACGGUACCUAACCAGAGAGCCACGGCUAACUACGUGCCAGCAGCCGCAGUAA